Molecule: ribosomal RNA, 321 nt
Filed under: uncultured Cercomonas
Lineage: Eukaryota; Cercozoa; Cercomonadida; Cercomonadidae
Description: SSU rRNA
Rfam family: Eukaryotic small subunit ribosomal RNA (bases 59-321)
Source: RNAcentral
GAUUUCUGGUUUGGCGCGCUUGGCCCGCCAGGGUUACCUGGUUGUGUGCUGGUGCGCGCCUUCCAUCCUUCUGCAUGUCAGUUCUAUCCUUUACUGGUGUGAACUGGUAUGCAGAUCUUUUACUUUGAAAAAAUUAGAGUGUUUAAAGCAGGCUUGCGCUAUGAAUACAUUAGCAUGGAAUAAUAAUUUAGGACUUUGGUUCUAUUUUGUUGGUUUCUAGGACUAAAGUAAUGAUUGAUAGGGAUAGUUGGGGGUGCUAGUAUUCAGCGGCCAGAGGUGAAAUUCUUGGAUUCGCUGAAGACUAACUUAUGCGAAAGCAUU